UUCUAUCAGUUGCCUUUUGUUAGACCAUGCCAUUCCUCUAGUAAUUUACCUUUUACACAGUGUUUGGGGACGUUCACCAUAAUGUCAACCACUAGAGUAUCUGGUGCAACCACAUACUCCUGACCACCAUCACACACCUGGAGUUUUGCAUCAGUGCAGUGUAAACAACAGACAAGUAUAUGUAUGAUACCAUAGCAGUGUACCUAGUAGUUGAUGAAGGCUCCAGCUUGAGGAGGACCAUAUAGCUAUGCUUCAUUGAUCUGAUGAAAGGUAGGUGACAGUGUAAGGUAUAUACUUGCCAGUGUAAGUGAUAGUGUAAGGUAUAUACUUGCCAGUGUAGGUGUCAGUGUAAGGUAUAUACUUGCCAGUGUAAGUGAUAGUGUAAGGUAUAUACUUGCCAGUGUAGGUGAUAGUGUAAGGUAUAUUCUUGCCAGUGUAGGUGAUAGUAUAAGGUAUAUACUUGCCAGUGUGGGUGAUAGUGUAAGGUAUAUACUUGCCAGUGUAGGUGACAGUGUAAGGUAUAUACUUGCCAGUGUAGGUGACAGUGUAAGGUAAAUACUUGCCAGUGUAGGUGAUAGUGUAAGGUACAUACUUGCCAGUGUAGGUGACAGUGUAAGGUAUAUACUUGCCAGUGUAGGUGAUAGUGUAAGGUAUAUACUUGCCAGUGUAGGUGAUAGUGUAAGGUACAUACUUGCCAGUGUAGGUGACAGUGUAAGGUAUAUACUUGCCAGUGUAGGUGAUAGUGUAAGGUAUAUACUUGCCAGUGUAGGUGACAGUGUAAGGUAUAUACUUGCCAGUGUGGGUGAUAGUGUAAGGUAUAUACUUGCCAGUGUAGGUGACAGUGUAAG
Long non-coding RNA from Haliotis rubra (blacklip abalone), 848 nucleotides. RefSeq lists it as uncharacterized. NCBI's taxonomy places the organism in Eukaryota, Metazoa, Mollusca, Gastropoda, Lepetellida, Haliotidae. The transcript is spliced from 3 exons. The record is from RefSeq and is a predicted model, not a curated record.